RNAcentral lists this ribosomal RNA (497 nucleotides) under uncultured bacterium. Its description in RNAcentral is "partial 16S ribosomal RNA". It matches the Rfam family "Bacterial small subunit ribosomal RNA", at positions 29 to 507 of the family's 1533-position model. The record is from RNAcentral.
ACGCACGCUGGCGGCAUGCCUAAUACAUGCAAGUUGAACGAUGAUAUUCUCUGCUUGCAGAGAAUUGAAGAGUAGCGAACGGGUGAGUAACACGUGGGGAACCUGCCCAUGAGAGGGGGAUAACAUUCGGAAACGGAUGCUAAUACCGCAUAAUGCUUUGGACCGCCUGGUCCAGAGACGAAAGACGGCUUUUGCCGUCACUCAUGGAUGGCCCCGCGCCGUAUUAGCUAGUUGGUGAGGUAAUGGCUCACCAAAGCUGUGAUACGUAGCCGACCUGAGAGGGUGAUCGGCCACACUGGGACUGAGACACGGCCCAGACUCCUACGGGAGGCAGCAGUAGGGAAUCUUCCACAAUGGGCGAAAGCCUGAUGGAGCAAUGCCGCGUGAAUGAAGAAGGUCUUCGGAUCGUAAAGUUCUGUUAUUAGAGAAGAACAAGUCAAGGAGUAACUGUCUUGACUUUGACGGUACCUAACCAGAAAGUCACGGCUAACUACGUG